GCAGCUUAAAGGGCUCGUAUGCUUCUUCACAGACGGGCAGUCGAUAGUGCUGCCAGACAACGGAAGCGGGUAAGGUCUGAGAGUUCAAACUCCCCCAGUCAGUCAACUCGAGACGGGUUGAACGAUAAUUCGUUGAGCGGCGCACCAGAAAAGCACUCCUGUGUGGCUUAGCUGAAGAAGGCUAUACGUGCGUUGUACGUGUUGGCAAGAGGCGACGAUAGCUGCAGCUGGGAGCUGGGAACACGUCGUGGGAGUCGCACUGUCAGUCUCUUAUGGUUUGAGAAAAGCGCGUACACCUACAUUGGUGUAUUCGUUACACUGUCAGUGCUUAAGUGCACUACGAGCCGUCCAAUUGGAAAACUCGAUUCAGACUACUCUUUGGCUGC
RNAcentral lists this RNase P RNA (386 nucleotides) under Wallemia ichthyophaga EXF-994. RNAcentral describes it as "Nuclear RNase P". It matches the Rfam family "Nuclear RNase P". Rfam says of the family: Ribonuclease P (RNase P) is a ubiquitous endoribonuclease, found in archaea, bacteria and eukarya as well as chloroplasts and mitochondria. Its best characterised activity is the generation of mature 5'-ends of tRNAs by cleaving the 5'-leader elements of precursor-tRNAs. The record is from Rfam by way of RNAcentral. Lineage: Eukaryota; Fungi; Basidiomycota; Wallemiomycetes; Wallemiales; Wallemiaceae.